UUGAAACCCAGGGAUUAGAUACCCUGUUACUCUUUAAUUUUAAGUGAAUAGUACCGGGGUAUUAAACAGUUAUUGUCUUGAAACUCAAAGGAUUUGGCGGUAAUUUAGUCUAUUUAGAGGAACCUGUCUUAUAAUCGAUAAACCACGUAAAAUCUUGCCUUAUUUUGUAGGUUCAGUUUGUAUACCGUCAUUAUUAGGCAACUUUAAUAAAAUUUAGUUGUUGUAAUAGUUUUUAAUUAAUAUAUUAGAUCAAGGUGCAGCUCAUAAUAAGGUAGAGGUGGGUUACAAUGUGAUGUCUUUAGACGGAUUAAAAAAGUAUGUGUUUUUAUGAAGGUGGAUUUAAUAGUAGGGGAGUUUAAUAUGUUUUUCGAUUUUAGCUCUAGGUUAUGUACAUA
Molecule: ribosomal RNA, 395 nt
Filed under: Bentheogennema intermedia
Lineage: Eukaryota; Metazoa; Arthropoda; Malacostraca; Decapoda; Benthesicymidae
Description: partial 12S ribosomal RNA
Source: RNAcentral